GAUGUCAUGUUUAUCGGUCUCAUGGCCUAGUUCCAGCUCAGUCCCAUUCAAGUGAAUUGUCCUCGGCUGCAAUACCAAGCACAACCACUAUACAAUGUAUGGCACUGUGCAUUAUAUGCUGUCAAUAGGGGCCCAUGGCCUCUUCA
Long non-coding RNA from Bufo bufo (common toad), 146 nucleotides. RefSeq lists it as uncharacterized. Lineage: Eukaryota; Metazoa; Chordata; Amphibia; Anura; Bufonidae. The record is from RefSeq and is a predicted model, not a curated record. The transcript has 4 exons.